GAUGAACGCUGGCGGCGUGCCUAAUACAUGCAAGUCGAGCGAACAGACGAGGAGCUUGCUCCUCUGACGUUAGCGGCGGACGGGUGAGUAACACGUGGAUAACCUACCUAUAAGACUGGGAUAACUUCGGGAAACGGGAGCUAAUACCGGAUAAUAUAUUGAACCGCAUGGUUCAAUAGUGAAAGACGGUUUUGCUGUCACUUAUAGAUGGAUCGGGGCCGCAUUAGCUAGUUGGGAAGGUAACGGCUUACCAAGGCAACGAUCCGUAGCCGACCUGAGAGGGUGUUCGCCCACACUGGACCUGAACCACGGUCCAGACUCCUACGGGAGGCAGCAGUAGGGAUCCUUCCGCAAUGGGCGAAAGCCUGACGGGGCAACGCCGCGUGAAUAAGGAAGGUCUCCGGUUCGUAAAACUCGUUUAUUAGGGAAGAACAAAUUUGUAAGUAACUAUUCACGUCUUGACGGUACCUAAUCAGAAAGCCACGGCUAACUACGUG
This 497-nucleotide ribosomal RNA is filed under the name uncultured bacterium. RNAcentral describes it as "partial 16S ribosomal RNA". It matches the Rfam family "Bacterial small subunit ribosomal RNA", at positions 28 to 507 of the family's 1533-position model. The record is from RNAcentral.